UCCGCGGUAGCUCAAUGGUAGAGCAAACGACUGUUAAUCGUUAGGUUACAGGUUCGAAUCCUGUCCGCGGAG
The sequence is a transfer RNA, 72 nucleotides long. It matches the Rfam family "tRNA". From Rfam's summary of the family: Transfer RNA (tRNA) molecules are approximately 80 nucleotides in length. Their secondary structure includes four short double-helical elements and three loops (D, anti-codon, and T loops). Further hydrogen bonds mediate the characteristic L-shaped molecular structure. tRNAs have two regions of fundamental functional importance: the anti-codon, which is responsible for specific mRNA codon recognition, and the 3' end, to which the tRNAs corresponding amino acid is attached (by aminoacyl-tRNA synthetases). tRNAs cope with the degeneracy of the genetic code in two manners: having more than one tRNA (with a specific anti-codon) for a particular amino acid; and 'wobble' base-pairing, i.e. permitting non-standard base-pairing at the 3rd anti-codon position.